This 117-nucleotide ribosomal RNA is filed under the name Candidatus Omnitrophota bacterium. The record is from RNAcentral. Lineage: Bacteria; Pseudomonadati; Candidatus Omnitrophota.
UCCAGCGGCUUUGCCGAGGGGGAAACACCCGUUCCCAUUCCGAAUACGGAAGUUAAGCUCCUCAGGGCCGAUGGUACUGCACGGGCAACUGUGUGGGAGAGUAGGUCGUCGCUGGGA